Molecule: microRNA precursor, 210 nt
Filed under: Oryza glumipatula
Lineage: Eukaryota; Viridiplantae; Streptophyta; Magnoliopsida; Poales; Poaceae
Description: MIR812 microRNA precursor family
Rfam family: MIR812 microRNA precursor family
Source: Rfam by way of RNAcentral
AAUAAAUGCAGUUUUAGCACUGUUCAUGUUCAACGUUUGACUGUUCGUCUUAUUUGAAAAAAGAUUAUAAUUAGUAUUUUUAUUGUUACUAGAUGAUAAAAUAUGAAUAGUACUUAACGUGUGACUAAUUUUUUAAAUAUUUUUCUUAAAAUUUUCAAAUAAGACGGAUGGUCAAAACGAUAAAUUCGGAUAUCUAUGACUGCACUUAUU